This 880-nucleotide ribosomal RNA is filed under the name Stichococcus bacillaris. RNAcentral describes it as "bacterial LSU rRNA". It matches the Rfam family "Bacterial large subunit ribosomal RNA", at positions 897 to 1746 of the family's 2925-position model. Lineage: Eukaryota; Viridiplantae; Chlorophyta; Trebouxiophyceae; Prasiolales; Stichococcaceae. The record is from RNAcentral.
UAGGGGUAAAGCACUGUUUCGGUGCGGGCUGCGAGAGCGGUACCAAAUCGUAGCAAACUAAGAAUACUAGAUAUUGCUUUCCAUUAAUCAGUGAGACGGUGGGGGAUAAGCUUCAUCGUCGAGAGGGAAACAGCCCAGAUCACUAGCUAAGGCCCCUAAAUGAUUGCUAAGUGGCAAAGGAGGUGAAAAUGCUGAAACAACCAGGAGGUUUGCUUAGAAGCAGCCACCCUUAAAAGAGUGCGUAAUAGCUCACUGGUGAAGCGUUUUUGCGCCGAAAAUGAACGGGACUAAGCAAUCUGCCGAAGCUGUGGGAUUUUUAUCAAAUGAUUAAAAAUCGGUAGGGGAGCGUUCCGCUUUAGGGUGAAGUAUUUAUGGAAAUAAGUAUGGACGAAGCGGAAGUGAGAAUGUCGGCUUGAGUAACGCAAACAUUGGUGAGAAUCCAAUGCCCCGAAAACCUAAGGGUUCCUUUACUAGGUUCGUCCAUGAAGGGUGAGUCAGGACCUAAGGCAAGGCCGAAAGGCGUAGUCGAUGGCAAACAGGUUAAUAUUCCUGUACUAAUUUUUAAUUAAUACCGAGGGACGAAGACAGCAAAAAUUGGCCAGACAAUGGAUUGUUGGUGGAAACAUUCAAGGUAUAGAAAAAUAGAAGAAAAACUAGUUUUCAACUAAGAGGUGAUACGAUUCUGUUCCCUGCUAAGCAAUUAGGAGGUUAGAGGAAUUCAAUUGUUUGUUAUGCUUCCUAGAAAAGCUCGUAGUAUUAGAUAUGAAAAAAUUACCUGUACCUUAAACCGACACAGGUAGGUGGGUAGAGUAUACCUAGGGGCGCGAGAUAACUCUCUCUAAGGAACUCGGCAAAAUGGCCCCGUAACUUCGGGAGAAGG